Long non-coding RNA from Motacilla alba alba, 3097 nucleotides. RefSeq lists it as uncharacterized. The transcript is spliced from 2 exons. The record is from RefSeq and is a predicted model, not a curated record. Lineage: Eukaryota; Metazoa; Chordata; Aves; Passeriformes; Motacillidae.
CUUGCCUGGUAGAUAAACGGUACCUUUCUCAGCCAUCUGUCUUACAAAUGAUCCUAUAUAUACAGCUAUUAUUACCCUCAGACACUGGAAGCUCUGCAAUUGUUCAUGGCCUCAGUGAAGAAUAAUACCUGUCAUGCAGUUUAAAACACCUCAGAACUGUCCUGAAGAAGACUGCUGCUAAAAUUGCAAAUGGUUCUUUACCCAUUUGUGAGAAAACACUAAACUAGUCUGCUGCUUUUGACAGCAGACAAAAAGACAGCAACAGCUCAAAUAGAAAAGGUAUAAAUGAAACAGACAUUAAAUACCAUUCAGCACUUCCAGAUGAUGCACAAAACAGGAUGUAAUGAUGUGCUAUGAAGCAGAAGUUGAUUAGGGAAGUUACUAUUUAUAUAAAUUCAUGUCAUUACCUCAGUGGUAGUUGACCACUUCCAUGGGGGACUAACUUUGAAACAAGAGAAAGCCAUUUUUAAUCUGAGACAUUGCAAUCCUUUGUGAGUAGUAGACAGCACUCCUGUUCACUACCUGAAGUAGUGUGUAUCUGUAUCUUUAUAGAUGCCACAACUCAUAGCUGACGAACAAUUUUCUCAGUCAAAUAUUAUCCCUUCAGGAACAUACUAACAUAUAUUUUACUUAGAAAACCUAACAUACUGAAUCAGCAAACAUCCAUGCUUGAGCUUCUUCCAUGAAUCGAAGAUGACAAAGCCCUAUCAUCUCUUCCUUAAUUUAUACACAAGGCUGAUGAGUUAUGAAAGCAGUAACAUCAUAAAAAAUGACAUGGUGAAAUUGAUCUAAAAGAAUGUGCAAAAAUGAACUGAACAUUGUCUUUCUAUCCUAUAGGAUACACAUACAAUAACAACAGAAAAGAACUGACAAAUAGUUAUGUUCAAUCCACAACAAAAUGCUGUCCAGAUCAACUUAGCUUCUGAUCCACCAAAGAUCUAUUUUCUUUUACUAAAAAGGUUCAUACAUGUUGGGCAUUGGGUAUGUAUGGUAUUCAGCAUCUAUGGAUAACAUGAAUUCAAGCAAAACUCACCUAGUAACUAGAGUAAUUGAACAGUUGACAGUACUUGCCAACAAGAAAUUUUUGAGAUUACGAUCACAGGGAUCACAUUUAGGCCUGAAAAAAGAGAUGGCAGAAAAGGCAAUUCGAAUUGGAUAUGGCUCUUGUGCAAGCAGACGUCAUUUGAAUCCAAGGGAUUGCAUCUCUGUGUGUAGAAGAAUUCUACCUUUCUAGUUUUACUCUUAUAGGGUAAUUAAAAUUGUUUGUGCUUUGAAAAAAAAAAUCAAUAAAAUUAGAUAACCAAAAGAAGAUUUUAACAACUUGAGAAUAAGCAUUUCAUAGGAAUGCAAAGUAAAUUACCAGGAUUCUUUUUAACAUACACAGCCUUUAGGUAGGGUGCUAACUUCAACCUAUAGCAAUUAUUUUUUUGAAUCUGCUUAGAAAGGAAAUGCUUUAACCUAGUUUCCACUACUCUUUUAAUUACUGUACUCCAGAGAAAAUUUUAAUCACUAUAGGGGAAAAUAAUUUUUAUUCAGUUUUGCUAAGAUUCAAUAUAAUUUUGCUAGAGUGAAAUACAAAAACCUAACUCAAGAAAAAUUCAUAUUUUGAAUAGAGAACUCAAACAAUCCAAACACAGUUUUCACCACAGUAAAGUAUUUAAUGACAAAAAUCAGGGUUUCCAGUAGUGAGUCAAGAGAGCAGGUCCCACUUUUUUUUUUUUUUCUCUCCCCAGAAUGGCACAAAAUAAUUUCUACAUCUUUGAGAACUUCCAAGGAAUUGGUUACAAUAGAUAUCAGCAAGUAUUACAAUUCUGGCAAAUCAUGGCAAAACCUACCUACCUUUAAGAUCAGUUUUAAGAGCACGCAUUUUUGUUAAUAUUUCACAUAAUACACAACUUUUGCUAGACACAAAAAUAACCUUUUAAGACAGAGUUUGCAGUACAGCAGUCAAGUCUAACAAUACAUUAUUUUUAUUCUGUUCAGAACUUUAAAAAGAUAAAGAAACUAAUAAUAUUGUUACAAUUUACAAAUACAUUCUUUCAUAUGAAACAAUAACCUGAAUCAUAGUAUAUGUUAUGUACACAACUAUCUAAUAAUACUAGGUUCUAUACACUACAAGCGAAGUUCCAGAAGGAAACUGCAAUGCUCUAAGAUUUACCUUUGGAUAAACAUUUAUACACCUUGAUUUUUUUCCCUAAAAACUACCAAAACUUGUAGUUUAAUGAACAGAAAGAACAAAGUAAACAGACAAACCACUUUUCCUUCAUUCAGAAGACUUAGGUUAUCUAAAGCUCCCAUAGUAAAUGGCUUUUGAUGGUUGGAUUAAAGUCCUGAGUUAUGAUAAAAAUCAUACACUUAACUGGAAGAUACAAAACAACCCAAAAUGCUGAAAAGCUCAGGUGGGACUAAAGCAAUGUUUUAGCACAGUUUAGCUCACAUGAGGUCUGGAACUUAGCAGUGCAAUUAUGAUCUUGUCCUGUCCAGCUGAUAUUUAUGUAAACAUAUAUGCCUUUUUAUCUAAAUUUAGACAACUUAUUAUUUUCAGGUAUAUAAGACCUGGGUUUUAGACAUUUCUUCUAAUUAUUUGCAAGCAUAGAGGACAUUCUGGCUUGAUGACAGCAGCUCAGAAUCUACUUCCUUCUCUCGAGAGAAAGCCUUGAGAGGUUAGCAGCAGAAAAUAGUUUUAAAAGAAUGGAAAAUAUGACAAGAUAGCUUUGUGGUCAAAAAGGUUCUCCCUGACUGAUUUAUAAUCCAUCUUCAAAAAAAAAUAGCCUAACAUUUUGUAUCUAGCAGAAGUGUAAUUUCGGUUUAAAAACCAGAGACUUUUUCCCUGGUUAAUCGCAGAAAUACCCAGACAUUACAAUAGCAUUCAGACAUUUCCGGGGCAAGCAUUACUUACACAUAGCUCAACAGAGUGUUCAGAACAUGCGUUGUUAAUUAACCUGUUCUGAUUUAUAACAGAUGUGGCCAAAUUCCCUUUCAGUAGGUGCUAGAUUUGGUAACUGUUGGAGCUGGUGCUAAAUAGAGCUAAAUGAUCCUAUGGUACUACACAAAUGACCCAUUCUCUCAACUCCUCAUGUGAAAUUAAAUAAAAAAG